Apis mellifera (honey bee) is the source of this 1221-nucleotide long non-coding RNA. RefSeq lists it as uncharacterized. Lineage: Eukaryota; Metazoa; Arthropoda; Insecta; Hymenoptera; Apidae. The transcript has 3 exons. The record is from RefSeq and is a predicted model, not a curated record.
AACCGACACCAGCCAUGUGCUCUAAGUUGACGUCCUCUGAUGAUGAUUAUUUACAAGAAGAAGAGUCGAGUCUGUGUAAACUUUUUUACACCCAAGCGACAGGUCUUGUCGAGGAGAGUAUCGCUUUUUUUCUUUUUUUUCUUUUUUCUAAUCAAUUAUAUCGAAAUCACAACAACAUACGAUCGAUCGAUUUGAUUCGAAUUCGUGGUACAUAUACAUACAUAUACAUAUAUAUAUAUAUAUGUAUUGUUAUUAAAUUGAGAUGGAAUUACGCGGUUUAGAAAACGUGAAGAUCGUUAACGUGAUCAGUGUUCCCUUAAUUGAUUAAGGGGACAAUGUAGCUCGUUAACAGGAGCAACGAUUCGCGUCGUACGCUCGCUGUGAUUUCUAUCUAAAAAAUAAUUUUGUAAUAACAAAAGAGAAAGAGAGAGAGAGAAACAUAUAUAUAUAUGUAUAUGUAUGUAUAUAUAAAGCGACGAUAUUAUUUUACAGUACGUGCACGAAACGUCGUGUCUUUCCAACGAAAAAGAGAGAGAGAGAGACAAACUAGCGAAACUCAUUCCUUCACGAAAUUCUAUUAUUGUGUAUUUAAAAAGGAGGAAGAGACAAACUCUCUGUGUUUUGCUCCGCGUCAUGCUCAGCGAUGUACAAUCUACAGCAUAUGAAAGUCUCGGAAACUCUUGUCUUGUUCCUGUUGUGCGGGACCGUUUCGAGUAAUCAUCGAUCAAUUGCUUUCUAAUUCGGGUUUCUUAAUUUCGGAAAUAAUCAGGUAAAUCGGUGUGUUGAAGCGGAAAUGACCGUAAUUAACAAGGGAGAAACAAGGUGUUUCGUAUACCGCAAUAGUGUUUGGGAUACCGCACAUACCUGCAUGGGACUGCUUUGGUUAUCAACCUUGUCGAUACCGUCCACGGAUUGUUGGGGACCCCCUAAAAGAGCGGUGAGCACCCUCAACCCCACAGACAGCAAAUUUGCCCAGGGGCUGGCAGGUGCACCAUCGUCGAUCUCGUUCUUGCUAGGACCUGUCACUCCUCCCGUUUGACCCAGGAUCAUCUGCAUCAGCAUGCUCAACAUGUUCGACCACGAGAACCCGGUACUGCUACCUUCCUGAUCAAACAGGAGGAAAGGAUUCAUCAUCAAGAAUUUGAGGAUGAAGAUUUUGAGGAGAUGAAAGGAAGGGAAAUGAUUAAAUAAUAUUGUUGAAAUAUCGUAGAAAUUUAUAGA